RNAcentral lists this ribosomal RNA (253 nucleotides) under uncultured bacterium. RNAcentral's name for it is "partial 16S ribosomal RNA". It matches the Rfam family "Bacterial small subunit ribosomal RNA", at positions 524 to 776 of the family's 1533-position model. The record is from RNAcentral.
UACGUAGGGGGCAAGCGUUGUCCGGAUUUAUUGGGCGUAAAGAGCGUGUAGGCGGCCAUACAGGUCCGUUGUGAAAACUGGAGGCUCAACCUCCAGACGUCGACGGAAACCGUGUGGCUAGAGUCCGGAAGAGGAGAGUGGAAUUCCUGGUGUAGCGGUGAAAUGCGCAGAUAUCAGGAAGAACACCAAUGGCGAAGGCAGCUCUCUGGGACGGUACUGACGCUGAGACGCGAAAGCGUGGGGAGCGAACAGG